UCAAAGACAAACGAUCCAUUAUAAUUUCAAGAUUGUACUGAAAUGGAAAGAGAAUGCUUGGGCUAAAUCAUCCCAUGUAUAACACCGAGCAUGAUCCUGUCGGGUGUACCAUUCCAAUGCUGAACCACUCAAACUUUGACUGAAGUAUGCCAUUAGCAAUUCAUCCUUUCCACAUGCCCCUCUCAUCUUGCUGCAGAAACCUCUUAAGUGUGCCACUGGAUCACCAUGUCCUUUGUAUAAGUCAAACGUGGGCAUCUUAAUGCCUGGAGGGGAACAAACAAAGUUCUUUGUAUGCUACACUCACUUGCCCUCCCAACCCACGCAUAUCUCUGAACGAUUUCUCUAAACUUUUGACUUUCCUGAGCACCUUCUCUUGCUCGAGGUUUUUGGAUGGUUUUUCAGCCUCAACACGGAUUUCAAAAUGGGGAGCGUAAGUGGGAUUUGAAGGUGGGCUAUGGUGGGUAACAAUGAUUAUCAUGAGCUUGGAGCAAAGGCUCACUGGAUGAUCUGUGAAGUGUGGCAAGAGGAGGUGCCACAAAGAUGGGAACAACUGGAGGAAGAGGGUGAGGAAUAGCUUUGAGUGGUAGAGCUGGGGGUGCUUGAGAAGUUGUACCCUAGUAUUGUGGGUAGAUGGGGAAGCUUGGGGGUAGAUCAGUAGUAGGUGGUCAUGUGAC
This 674-nucleotide long non-coding RNA is filed under the name Nicotiana benthamiana. Its description in RNAcentral is "long non-coding RNA (NBEN_LNC037788)". Lineage: Eukaryota; Viridiplantae; Streptophyta; Magnoliopsida; Solanales; Solanaceae. The record is from RNAcentral.